RNAcentral lists this long non-coding RNA (398 nucleotides) under Mytilus galloprovincialis (Mediterranean mussel). Lineage: Eukaryota; Metazoa; Mollusca; Bivalvia; Mytilida; Mytilidae. The record is from RNAcentral.
CUGACGUAUGCGCGUUGACAUGGGUACCUGAGACACACAGGCAUGUACCAGAGGUGGGUUUCGUUCCCGUUAUAUUAGCAGCCACAAGACCGACAAACACAAAUACAAAAGCGAACGACAACAUUGUUCCAGAUAUUCGUCCAAGGCUUUCUUCUUGAAUAUGUCCUGAACAGGCUUCUAAAAGUCACGGAACUGUUUAGAAUGAAAUUCAAAACAGUGUGGCUGUGGCCAUUGAUUGACACAUUAAAUUCAUCCAUUGACUGGGACAAUUUACGUGAACGUUUGUCUGUGUAACGACCACUGUUCACGACGUACCUAUGAUAGACAUUUAAACUGUGGGGUCACCAAAGGUUUCUUAACGCCUUUAAUUAUAAAAUAAUUCGAAAAAUUAAUCAGGA